Molecule: ribosomal RNA, 349 nt
Filed under: uncultured bacterium
Lineage: Bacteria
Description: bacterial SSU rRNA
Rfam family: Bacterial small subunit ribosomal RNA
Source: RNAcentral
GGGCCCGCACAAGCGGUGGAGCAUGUGGUUUAAUUCGAUGAUACGCGAGGAACCUUACCAGGGCUUAAAUGUAGGUUGCAUGAUCUAGAGAUAGAUCUUUCUUCGGACUACCUACAAGGUGCUGCAUGGUUGUCGUCAGCUCGUGCCGUGAGGUGUCAGGUUAAGUCCUAUAACGAGCGCAACCCCUGUCGUUAGUUACCAGCAAUUAAAGUUGGGUACUCUAGCGAGACUGCCAGGUGCAAACCGUGAGGAAGGUGGGGAUGACGUCAAAUCAUCACGGCCCUUACGUCCUGGGCUACACACGUACUACAAUGCUACGGACAAAAGGCAGCAAGUUCGCGAGGACAAG